UCUCAGCUUAUUUUGCGCAGCUUAGGUGGGAGGCUAUGAACCUUUUCUUCUGGGAAGAGGGGAGCCGUCAGUGAGAUACCACUCUUGGUAAGCUAGAGCGCUCAGUCUUAACCGUCAUCCGGUAAGACGACAGUUUCAGGCGGGCAGUUUGACUGGGGCAGUCACCUCCCAAAAGGUAAUGGAGGUGUGCAAAGGUUCCCUCAGGCUGGACGGAAAUCAGCCAUAGAGUGUAAAAGCAAAAGGGAGCUUGACUGCGAGACUGACAUGUCAAGCAGAGACGAAAGUCGGCUUUAGUGAUCCGACGGUGCUGUGUGGAAAGGCCGUCGCUCAACGGAUAAAAGUUACUCUAGGGAUAACA
This 358-nucleotide ribosomal RNA is filed under the name uncultured eukaryote. RNAcentral's name for it is "LSU rRNA". It matches the Rfam family "Bacterial large subunit ribosomal RNA", at positions 2122 to 2479 of the family's 2925-position model. The record is from RNAcentral.